Non-coding RNA from Arachis ipaensis, 483 nucleotides. The record is from RefSeq and is a predicted model, not a curated record. NCBI's taxonomy places the organism in Eukaryota, Viridiplantae, Streptophyta, Magnoliopsida, Fabales, Fabaceae.
CUCCCACCUCCCACAAAUCUAGCCAGUAGCCACUCUCUUCUCACACUCUCGCUUUCUGCACUCUCGAGGCCUGCGGCGAACCCACCUAGCGCCGGCGAGACCGUUCCUCCACCACCUUGCAGCGCCGCCGAACUCUCCCCCCUAGCGCCUCCGAACCUUCCUUCCACUGCUCCUAAGACCUCCUCGCGAACAGAGCACAACGAAGCCCCAGCCCCAGCCAGCAGUGAGCAGCCCAGCACCACCCUCGCACCCAGCAGUAGCACAGCACCACCCACUCACCCAGCACAGCACCACGCCACCACCCAGUGUUUCUGGCCACCCACAACUUAGCACCUCCUACCCAGCCACCGAUUCAAGUCAGAUAUGGAGCGGUAGCCACCGAGCCAGUAUGGAGCUUUCAAGAUCUUUGUCUCCUUUUGUUGCCAAUAUGACAGCUUUGACAAAUAUGGUAUGUAUGUAUAAGCAAGUUGCUCAGAUGGCUGA